Molecule: ribosomal RNA, 1308 nt
Filed under: Triticum aestivum (bread wheat)
Lineage: Eukaryota; Viridiplantae; Streptophyta; Magnoliopsida; Poales; Poaceae
Description: partial small subunit ribosomal RNA
Source: RNAcentral
AUGGCGUCCGGGAAGCACUUCAAGUACAUCGUCCUCGGCGGCGGCGUCUCGGGGGGGUACGCGGCGCGGGAGUUCGCCAAGCAGGGCGUGCAGCCGGGGGAGCUCGCCAUCAUCUCCAAGGAGGCCGUGGCUCCUUACGAGCGCCCUGCCCUCAGCAAGGCAUACCUGUUCCCUCAGAAUCCUGCAAGAUUGCCAGGAUUCCAUGUGUGUGUGGGAAGUGGAGGCGAGAGGCUCUUGCCUGAAUGGUACUCAGAGAAAGGCAUCGAGCUUAUCCUGAGCACUGAAAUUGUCAAAGCUGAUCUUGCUUCCAAGACUCUGACUAGUGCAGCUGGAGCAACCUUUACAUAUGAUACCUUGCUAAUUGCUACUGGCUCCUCAGUCAUUAAGCUCUCUGAUUUUGGCACUCAAGGAGCUGAUUCUAACAACAUUCUGUACCUAAGGGAAAUUGACGACGCGGACAAUCUGUAUGCAGCUAUCCAAGCAAAGAAGGGUGGGAAGGCAGUGGUUGUUGGAGGAGGUUACAUUGGCCUUGAACUAAGCGCAGUAUUGAAGAUGAAUGAUCUUGAUGUGACUAUGGUGUUCCCUGAACCUUGGUGCAUGCCUCGUCUCUUCACUGCCGAGAUUGCGGCUUUCUACGAGAGUUACUAUACUAACAAAGGAGUCAAGAUCUUGAAGGGUACAAUUGCUGUUGGUUUUGAUGCUGACGCCAAUGGUGAUGUGACUGCAGUUAAGCUAAAGGACGGCAGUGUGCUCGACGCUGAUAUUGUUGUCGUCGGUGUUGGGGGCAGACCGUUGACUAAUCUCUUCAAAGGCCAAGUUGCCGAGGAGAAAGGUGGAAUCAAGACCGAUGCUUUUUUCGAAACAAGUGUCCCUGGAGUGUAUGCCGUCGGCGACGUGGCCACCUUCCCGAUGAAGAUCUACAACGACGAGAGGCGAGUGGAGCACGUCGACCAUUCCAGGAAGUCCGCGGAGCAGGCUGUGAAGGCAAUCAAGGGGAAAGAGGCGGGGUCUGCCGUGGAGGAGUACGACUACCUGCCCUACUUCUACUCGCGGUCGUUCGACCUGUCGUGGCAGUUCUACGGGGACAACGUCGGCGACGCCAUCCUGUUCGGCGACACCGACCCCGGCUCGGCCAAGCCCAAGUUCGGGUCGUACUGGGUCAAGGACGGCAAGUGCGUGGGCGCGUUCCUGGAGGGCGGGUCGCCGGACGAGAACGCCGCCAUCGCCAAGCUCGCGAGAGCCCAGCCGCCCGCCGCCAGCCCCGACGAGCUCAAGGCCGCCGGCCUCCAGUUCGCCAGCAAGAUCUGA